Molecule: long non-coding RNA, 7374 nt
Organism: Ananas comosus (pineapple)
Lineage: Eukaryota; Viridiplantae; Streptophyta; Magnoliopsida; Poales; Bromeliaceae
Exons: 6
Source: RefSeq, a predicted model, not a curated record
AUGUUGCAGUUAUUAUCUAUUUAAUUAAUUGGUCAUUUAUUGGAACAGUUUGACUCGGCCGAUUGCGCUAGCACAUAACAGACGGCUUUUAGAUUUUGUCAUAGAGCUAGUUCUCAAACUCAUGGAGUAACUUAGGGGUGUGAAACUGCUUAACAGAGUAACCGGAUCUAACCGAUGGGUCUAGGAUAAGCAUGAAGGCAACGGACGAGGGCUAUAUAAUUGUUUCGCGGCCCUUCCACGCGCUAUUCCAAUACAAGUCGGGAACAAUCGCUCUUCUUCUUCUCUCCUCCUCCUUGCUCCCGCCUCGCCGACGACUCCGAAACCUACAGAGCCGAAGUGCGAACGAAACCCUAAGUGUGAUGAAGGAUCGGAUCCCUCUUCCACUCCCUUUAUCGAAUCCUCAAUUUGAGCACAUUGAUCUCGAUCUCGAACUCUGUUGUCGAUUUGAGAUCAAAGGAUCCCUGAUCAAUGAAAGUCUGAGUACGUUUUAACCUUAAGAAAGCGAGAUGAUUCUUUGAGGUGAACUAUAUCAUUCAAUGCUUGAUCUUGAUUCUGCUGCGUUUGAUUUUGUUGCUGCUUUUAUUCAUGAUUCAUGAACUUGCUGUUUGAAGGAAAAGAUUGAGGAAUUUGCAGAGUUUUGCACCUGGAGAAGAAGGAAUCUGAUUUUUUUAAAUUUCGAAAUAACUUUCUAUAUUACUCCUAAGUUUACUUUCUAGUACUAUUUCACAGUUCCAGCUGAAUUUACUUGCAGGUAUCUGAUUGAUAAACGAACGAGAAGAAGAGAAAGGUUUAGCUGGUAAAUCUGAUGCUUCAACCGAACUUUGAGAAAUAGGCGACUCUUUUCAUCUGAUGUGCUAUUGUGUUUGUGAAUUUCAGAAAAGCCAAUGAAAAAGUUUCUAGUUUCAAAUAGUUUAGACAGAGCUCUCUAGUCCAAAAUAUAUAUGAAUUCUGUGCAUGGUUCUAUCUUAACAUCGCUUGUAGGCACGCAGGACAAGGGGUUUAUGUAUUGUCUCCUUAGUGACUAACAAUUGAAAAUUUGUUAAAGGAUUUACCUAUAUAGGCUAUCUAACCUCAUCACGAGUCUGAGGCAAAACAUCUUGCUUCUACUAUUUGAUUGGCUUUGUUGUGUUUAAUUACUCUGAAGAUUAUCUGAUUUAUGUGCUGUUUAUGUUGGUGCUAGCAUGGUGAUAGUGUUAUUACAGGGAAAUAAAGUAUAUUCUUCUUCCAGGCAUGCAAACUAUUGAGCUUAUGGUGUCUCAUGAGUCUAUUGGAACACUGCUUCUCAACAUAUUCAGAUUUUAGUAGAAUACAUGAACUUUAAUUCGAAAAAAAAAGUAUGGAAUUGGAAUCCAUAACUUACAGGUGGCAUGUGGAUUCUACUCUUUCUUUGCAUUUGAAGCUAUUGGAUCAAAAUUGCCAAAUGUUACUAAAUUAUCUGAAUAUUAUUGAAUUUUCUCAUUCUGCUGUUUGCUUUUGAACUCUCCAGGCAUCCAACUAUGGGACUCUUUCAAUCGGCUGGUUAGCUGUUUAAUUUAGAUUUGUAUUUCGCUCAAUAUCUGAAUUUCUUGUUGGACCUCAUGCAAAACUGUUGGAUUUUUUUUUUUUUUUGUCUUAUGAACCAUUUUGAUGGAUUCUUUUCGGUUUUCUGUUUUCUUUUCUUACUUUAGUUUACAGCUGGGAACUCUGCAAAAAGUUGAUGGGUCUCAAUUUGCUGUGAUACAUUCGUUUAAAUAUGAAUUCUUGUUUGGUUUCAUAAAGAAUAUUUUAUUGUUGCAAUGAUGGGUCUUCUUUGCUACUGCAGAGUCUUGAUGGUUGCACCAUUACAUUGAAAAUGUAUUUGGGAAAUGCUAAUUGAAUGGAGUGGUAGCAUGCUACCAUUUUCUCAAAAAAGAAAAAGAAAAAGAAAAAAGAAAAGUAUUUGGAAAAUGUGAAGUGACAAAACCCUGCAGCUAGAUAGCAUGAACUGAUCCUUCUGCCAAUUUUUACAUUAUGUGAGGGGCGUAGCGAACAAUGUGAUGGGAAAGGAGUCAGCAAUGUCUAAUAAUAACAGGGCAAGCCUGCCUGCAAUCCUUCCUAGCCGGUGAAACUACUGGACGAACAGGACUCGUCUUUCUUGCGGGCUCUCUUUCACUGGGAAAGCAACCUACGGAAGUCUUCUCACUUGGAAAACAGCUCACCAUCAUUUGAUGAAAAUAGACAGGUUCAUAAAAAUAAGUACGAAGGCUAUUCAGUGAGUUUAGACGGAAGCAAGCAAAUAGCUGAUAAUGGAAUAAAGAACCAGAGCAAGAGAGUCAAGAUAUCUGAUAGCAGUAGAGAAGAACGUUGCUCUGAUUUAACAAUGAGGCAUAAUUCAAAGCAAAUCUCCUUGUCCAGAGACAGGAGAGCUUGGUUUUGCUAAUUUACAAACUUUGUGCGCCAUAACUUACAUGCAAAGGGGUAGUCUAAUUUGUUCAUGCAAGGAUUUUGCAAGAUACAAACAUCUCUAGUAUGAUUCUUGAACUGUAAUAUUUUUAUCUGAAAAAACUAAUUUUUAUCUGUCCCAACAUGUCCAUUGUGGAGUAUCAUGGACUUUUGUACCUAGAUUGAGACAAUUUCAUAAGUUUCUAUGGGGGUGAUAUGCAUGUCUAUGGGAAUUGGCGAGUUUUUAUUUGCAUGGCAUUAUACAUGGAUGAUCCUAUAAAUGAUAAUUAUCUUCGUCUAAUGCAAAUUAUAGUGUCUAAUUUAAUUAAAUUGAAAAAUCAAUUAGAAUCAGAAUUCAAAGUGUUGCAGAAAAUAUACAUGCAUCUCGAACCUUCGCAUUAAAAGAUAGCUAUAGAGUAAGGAGCACAGGUUCUGGAGGGAGAUAAAUCUCGUUUUUGGACCUAAUAUUCAUUCGCAAAAUUUGGGUAGUGUAAUAUAUGACCAGAAACAUUUUCAGAUGGCAACAUGGCAUCUGCAGCAGCAAGAUCCUCCAUGCUGACCUCUUGCUUUCGGGUGUCACUAAGUUUUGAUUUCGUUGGCUGCAUAAUGGUAGAUGCCUUUGUAAUUGCCGUGGAGGUUCCUUUCGACGAUCAACUUUAUUGCCUCUUUCUUUCUUUUCUUUCCCUUAUAGUUUUUGUGAUUAUGUGAAAGCAUCAACCUACUGCGAAUACUACGUUAAAAUAGCUUGAUUAAAAAUUUACAUGGACCCUCUCAACUAUAGGACAUUUUGAAAUUGAACCCUCAAUUAUUUUUCUUUUGAUUUUGGCUUCCUCAACUUUUGAUUAUUUUGAUUCAUGUUAUUUUCACUAGAUAAUUUGGGUUUGUCAAACAGCCUUUAUUUUUAACGAUUCUCCUGUUCUAAUGUAUGAAACUAAUCAAAUAAAAAACAAUUAAAAUUUUGAGGGAAUAUCAAUCAGAAGAAAAGCAGUUGAGGGGUCUAUUUUGAAAUAACCUAUAGGUUUGAGGGGGGAUCCCUAUAACUUUUUCCCAAAAGGUUUUCUGCUUUUAACAAUCCAUGUUUACUUCAUCUUUUAUUCCAGCACUCGUAUGGCUGAGCUUUGCUUUAAAUAUUGUGAUAUUUGAAACAAUUCGGCUAAUUGGUAUCUCAGUCUUCCUACUUACUGCUAAAUUUGCUUCAGUAUCCAGCAUCAUAUAUUUUACUUGAUGACGCUGUAAUAUAUGUUGAUUUUGUGAUCCUCUAUUACUUUAAUGUAGUGCGUGUAUAGCACAAAAGUUGUCUGAUUAGAACUUCUUCGCUUUUAGUCAUUUCAUGUUAUUUUUUCUUAACUUGCAAGUGUGCAUAAGAACUUACAGCUACUUGCUGGAUACAUGCCUGAAUUUUGUAAGAAAAUCAUUGUAAGUUGUGUUGGGAAUUUGACUACGUUUACAGAGGAUUUUUUCCAUCCCUAUGUUAGGAAUGUGACUAGGUUUACAGAGUAUUUUAUCCCUACCUAUGUGAAUUUCAUAUAUGGUGAAUUUUUAUUCUCUUUUUUUUUGUUUUUCUCUCUCAACUUUAUUUAAUAAUUUGUUUUUUGUAGACUUUUGUAUUUUUGACUGUCAUGUAAGGGUACCCCACGGAUGGUUCUUAAAGAGAGAGAGAGAAGAAAAGGGGAAAUUUCUUUGAUUUGUUACAUGAUAGCAGAAUCUGAGUGAUUGGCAAGUAUCUUCUGUAUGAUAGGAGCAAAUUUCUCUUGCAGGUGCUUUAUCGGAAGUGCACUGCUUUAAUAAUGUCGGAAUAUAACAAAGUAUGCCUCUAUAACCUUUCCUCUGCAUAUAUUCCCUUACAAACCGAAUUCAUUAAAUUAAUUAUCAUGCUACGUAACUGCCACACAUAUUCUUGCUAUAUCAGCAAGGCAAAUUUUCAGUAUCUGGGUGAUAGUUGAAAAAGAUGCUUGGAUUGUAUGAGCAAGUUAUAGCCUUUUGUUUAGAAGCCCCCACAUAAACUGUUAACGAGUAAGUAGUUGGAGUUCAGUUUUGUAAUGAAUAUUUAGCGACAGAGUAUUUGUUUCUUGCUAAAUUUUUUUUUUUAACCAUACUCCGGGCUGAGACGAAUUGUGGAGUCCAAGGGAAAGUCUAAACUUGAGAGGAUAAUAUCUUUGGAGCAUUGUUAAGGAUUUUCUAAGUUGGCGAAUUUCGUGAAGCCGAAUGGAGUCUUGAAGAGUUAAAAGCGAAGUUUUGGAGAAAAGAUUCAAUUUGGAGAUCAAAAACUCAUUCGGGAAGCUCGGCACCUCAGGUAUGAAAGAUAGAUCAUUUGUGGUGACUCUAGAUGUUCAAAAUGUAUGUAGAAGACUUAGAUUGCAUUAUUGCGUUUUGAAAUAACUGAUCUUAAUUUAUCAGGGUUCAGGGACCGGUCCCUGAUCAGAGGGACCGGACGCCGUAGGUCCUCUCUGCAUAAAGAAACGAUGCAACCGGUAUGUGGUAAUGAGGGACCGGUCCCCGUAAGCUGGUUUUCAUGUGCGCAUCAAGGGACCGGACCCUGAAUUAAGGACCGGUUCCCGUACGCAAAGCUUUUUGGUUACGCAGAGAGAGACCGGUCUUUGGAAUGAAGACCGGUCCCAGUAGCAGUUUUUUUUCAGCUACGCAACGAAAGACCGAUCCCUGAGAUGAAAGACCGGUUCCCGUAGCAUGUGUUUUCUGCUACGCAACGAGGGACCGGUCCCUGGCUUGAAGGACCGGACCCUGAGAGACAGGACCCCUCGGGAGGACCGGACCCUGAAACCGUAAUUGUUUCCAAAAAUGACUUUUGCAAUCCUAGUCUACUUCUAAGUCUUCUAAAUUUAUAAAUAAGCUAUGGUGGUUACAUUAUGACUAAGGCUUUGGAGUUUAGACCUUUAUGAAACCCUAGAAACUUGUUUUUGAGCUUUAUGAUUCUAUUCUUAAAGCAAGUUUCAAAUUGUUGAUCGAUGACUUGAUUCUUAGGUUUAUAAUUUGAAUGUUCCUUUGAGAAUCAAGUUGAUGAUUGACUAAAAGGGAAUUCUUCAUAGCUUAUGGUUUUCUAAGUUUCAAUCACCACAAAUUAUCUUCUCUACGAGCUCCGGAUGGAGGAUUGGUGCGUGGACUUCGCGUGAAGGCCGUGGAUUCGGUGGGCGCUUCGUGGAUUUGAGGUGUGUUUGCUGUGAGGGCUUGCAGCGUGAUCAGUUGAAGGAGUUCGAUCGAUUGAGGACCGGCGAAGAUAAUCUACAUCGAGGAUUCGGUAAAUUGAGUCAUGUAUUUUCGGUAAAUCACUUGUACUCAAUUGUUUCUAUAGUGGAUUUAUCGCGUGAUCGGUCACGUGGGUUUUUUCUCCAAAUUAGAGUUUUUCCACGUUAAAUCUCGGUGUGUUGUUUUUGAUUUCCGCUUUUACUUUAAAUUCGCAUCGGGAGUUUUGAUUUUGCCGUUUAUACCUAUUCACCCCCCUUUAUGUGUUAUUUACCUUUUAGAUCUUUGGGAUCCAUAUCUUUCAUGGAGCAAUGAUAAAACGGCUCAAUGAUGGGAUAAUAUCUUUGGAGCAGUCAUAAAAUGGCUCAACGAUGAUUUACUUGUCAAGAAUGACGAGUAGAUCCGACUAGAGCCUCGACUAUGACUACCCAAAUAUUUCUUGCUUUUGCAAAUGAAGAGCACCACUCUACCUUCAUGUUAGUGGCAUAAUGCAACUUUCUAAGUUGGUAAUCAUGCUUUUAAGUUAAUGCUUUUGUAGAGAGAGUGAGAAUUGAACCUUUUGUAAAAACGAAGAAUCUGACAUUCAUUAAAUGAAUAGAGGUACGCAAUGCAAAUCCAUGAUCUUUCGCCUCAUUUCUUGUUUAAUUUUCAAGGGAAAUUCCUUUUUUUUUACUUGAAACAGGCAUAAUUCAAAACAAAUCUUCUUGUCCGGUUUGAAAUGAAGUUUGAGCCUGUUUUUACUAAUCUAUGAAACUUGUGCACAACAAGUCUUUAAAAAACUUUUUUUUUUUCUCUGAAAGGUUUGAUUAACCGUUUUAUCUGAAAACGGCAUAAUCCAAAACAGAUCUCCUUGUCCAGUUGAAAUGGAAUUCGAACCUGUUUUUGCAAGCAUUCAAAGAAAGAACUUUUGCAUUCAAGGAGAAAGUUGAACUUGUUCAUGCAAAGAUCUCUCGUCGGACUCCGAUUGCGCUAGAACAUUACGGAAGGCUUUUAGAUUUGGUCAUAGAGCCAGCUCUCAAACUCGUGGAGUAAGUUAGCGGUGUGAAACUGCUAAACAAAGUAAUUGAAUCGAACCAAUGGUUUAGGUCUGAUUUAGAUUUUCUUUAUCAUUUUGAGAAAAAAAAACUGGUUGGGUUUUAGGUCAAUAGGGUAGUCACUGAAUUAUUUUGAUUCAGCUUUUUGUUCUGAUCGUGAUUCUGCUGUGUUUGAUUUUUGUUACUGCUUUUAUUCAUGGUUCAUGAACUUUCCGUUUGAAGGAAAAAAUUGAGGAAUUUGCGGAUUUUUUGCCUCUGGAGAAGAGGAUUUAGGUGCUCUUAUUCCUAGUAGCAUAUCUGAUCUGAUUUUUUAUUUUUUAAAAUUUUGAAACAACUUUCUAUAUUACUCCUAAUUUUACUUUAUAGUACCUUUUUACAGUUCUAGCUGUAUUUACCUGCAGGUAGCUGAUUGAUAAAUGAACGAGAAGAAAAGGGUUUAGGUAGUAAAUCUGAUGCUUCAACCAAAGUACUAGAACUAGGUGACUCUUUUCAUCUGAUGUGCUAUUUGUGUUUGUGAAUUCUGUGCAUGAUUCUAUCUUAACAUCACUUGUAGCCACACAGGAGAAGGGGAAUUUAUGUAUUGUCUCCUUAGUGACCAACAAUUGGAAAUUUGUUUAAGGAUUUACCUGUAUGGGCUCUCUAACCUCAUCAUGAGUCUGAGGCAAAACAUUUUGCUUCUACUAUUUGAUUGGCUUUGUUGUGUUUAAUUACGCUGAAGAUUAUUUGAUUUAUGUGCUUCUUA